This 1000-nucleotide ribosomal RNA is filed under the name uncultured bacterium. RNAcentral's name for it is "bacterial SSU rRNA". It matches the Rfam family "Bacterial small subunit ribosomal RNA", at positions 356 to 1376 of the family's 1533-position model. The record is from RNAcentral.
GGGGAAUAUUGCACAAUGGGGGAAACCCUGAUGCAGCAACGCCGCGUGAGUGAAGAAGUAUUUCGGUAUGUAAAGCUCUAUCAGCAGGGAAGAAAAUGACGGUACCUGACUAAGAAGCCCCGGCUAACUACGUGCCAGCAGCCGCGGUAAUACGUAGGGGGCAAGCGUUAUCCGGAUUUACUGGGUGUAAAGGGAGCGCAGGCGGUACGGCAAGUCAGAUGUGAAAACCCGGGGCUCAACCCCGGGACUGCAUUUGAAACUGUCGGACUAGAGUGCCGGAGAGGUAAGUGGAAUUCCUAGUGUAGCGGUGAAAUGCGUAGAUAUUAGGAGGAACACCAGUGGCGAAGGCGGCUUACUGGACGGUAACUGACGCUGAGGCGCGAAAGCUGGGGGAGCGAACAGGAUUAGAUACCCUGGUAGUCCCAGCCGUAAACGAUGGACGCUAGGUGUGGGGGGACGAUCCCCCCGUGCCGCAGCCAACGCAUUAAGCGUCCCGCCUGGGGAGUACGGCCGCAAGGCUAAAACUCAAAGGAAUUGACGGGGGCCCGCACAAGCAGCGGAGCAUGUGGCUUAAUUCGAAGCAACGCGAAGAACCUUACCAAGUCUUGACAUCCUUCUGACCGUUCCUUAGCCGGAACUUCUCUUCGGAGCAGAAGUGACAGGUGGUGCAUGGUUGUCGUCAGCUCGUGUCGUGAGAUGUUGGGUUAAGUCCCGCAACGAGCGCAACCCUUAUCCUUAGUAGCCAGCGGUUCGGCCGGGCACUCUGGGGAGACUGCCGGAGAUAAUCCGGAGGAAGGUGGGGAUGACGUCAAAUCAUCAUGCCCCUUAUGACUUGGGCUACACACGUGCUACAAUGGCGGUAACAAAGGGAAGCAGCCUCGCGAGAGUGAGCAAACCCCAAAAAUGCCGUCUCAGUUCGGAUUGUAGUCUGCAACUCGACUACAUGAAGCUGGAAUCGCUAGUAAUCGCAGAUCAGAAUGCUGCGGUGAAUACGUUCCCG